RNAcentral lists this ribosomal RNA (429 nucleotides) under Gemmatimonadota bacterium. RNAcentral's name for it is "Gemmatimonadetes bacterium partial 16S ribosomal RNA". It matches the Rfam family "Bacterial small subunit ribosomal RNA", at positions 355 to 776 of the family's 1533-position model. The record is from RNAcentral. Lineage: Bacteria; Pseudomonadati; Gemmatimonadota.
UAGGGAAUCUUCGGCAAUGGACGAAAGUCUGACCGAGCAACGCCGCGUGAGUGAAGAAGGUUUUCGGAUCGUAAAACUCUGUUGUUAGAGAAGAACAAGGACGUUAGUAACUGAACGUCCCCUGACGGUAUCUAACCAGAAAGCCACGGCUAACUACGUGCCAGCAGCCGCGGUAAUACGUAGGUGGCAAGCGUUGUCCGGAUUUAUUGGGCGUAAAGCGAGCGCAGGCGGUUUCUUAAGUCUGAUGUGAAAGCCCCCGGCUCAACCGGGGAGGGUCAUUGGAAACUGGGAGACUGGAGUGCAGAAGAGUAGAGUGGAAUUCCAUGUGUAGCGGUGAAAUGCGUAGAUAUAUGGAGGAACACCAGUGGCGAAGGCGGCUCUCUGGUCUGUAACUGACGCUGAGGCUCGAAAGCGUGGGGAGCAAACAGG